This 88-nucleotide transfer RNA is filed under the name Chloroflexota bacterium. RNAcentral describes it as "Chloroflexi bacterium (anaerobic digester metagenome) tRNA-Ser". It matches the Rfam family "tRNA". Rfam says of the family: Transfer RNA (tRNA) molecules are approximately 80 nucleotides in length. Their secondary structure includes four short double-helical elements and three loops (D, anti-codon, and T loops). Lineage: Bacteria; Bacillati; Chloroflexota. The record is from RNAcentral.
GGAGAGAUGCCGGAGCGGUUGAACGGGGCGGUCUCGAAAACCGUUGUAGGAUUUCAUCCUACCGUGGGUUCGAAUCCCACUCUCUCCG